Molecule: long non-coding RNA, 1654 nt
Organism: Ruditapes philippinarum (Manila clam)
Lineage: Eukaryota; Metazoa; Mollusca; Bivalvia; Venerida; Veneridae
Exons: 2
Source: RefSeq, a predicted model, not a curated record
GCAAAAUGCUAGUGUCGCUUGGAAUCGAAAGUGAGAAAAAAUGGACUAGGGAUCAAGUUGAAAAACUUACUAUUCAGUUCAGUAAAGAAACUGAUCUGUUAAACGGACAGUUCUCAGACUUAACAAAUCAAGUAAAUUUACAAAACAGCCUGUUGAUCAAGAAUUAUUCUAAGUUUAAAACUGAAGUAAUAGGCAACAUUGGAGAUGUGAAAUCUGAUUUUGAAUCGAUGGUUACAGAUAUUGAUGACAAAAUCCAAGCGAAGCUAAGAGAAAUGACCGAAGCAUUAAUUCAAAAUAAGAAGCUUAUGGAAAGUCAAAAUAUUUUGAUUAAUGCACAGAAGGCAGAACUUGAAGUUUAAAGAAAUCCCAAGUAAAAGUGAUUAAUGAUCUUAAUGAUAUCAAAAUAUGUCCACAGGGCUGGACACAAUUUUUAGCACGUUGUUAUCUUUUUAUAAAAAAUAAGAACACGUUCAGUGAAGCACGUGUCGAUUGUAAUCUUCUUGGAGCAACUUUUGCAGACUUUGAAAGUCUAGAAGAGAAUAAUUUUGUCGCCGAAAAGUUUAGGAUCACCAGAUCUACGCGGAUUGGAUACUCUGAUGAGGAAGAAGAAAAAAAACAGGGUUUCAUUUCGAACAGGUCAAACUGCGCCUUUUUACAUACUUUAGAUCAGGAGAGCCAAAUGGAGGAAGAGUGCAGAACUGCGUUAUUAUGGGAUUUGAAUCCCCAUAUAAUAUGUGGAAUGACUAUCCUUGUUUCAAGUUUUACAAAUUUCAAUAUAUCUGUAAAAAAGAUGCAAACAAUUUUACUUAAGUGUAGUGAUGGAUAUUUGUUUAAUACACAAGUCAAUUGUGACCAUAACGUAGGGAGUAUCAUAAAUUGUUUUGUACCUUAAAAGAUGACCUGUAAAGAACAAGUUUCUUAGAAAAUACACAAUUUCAAAUUUCAUUUCUUUGGAAUAUUCAAAUGAAUUAUUUCCUCUAAAAAUGUUUUGAAGGGUAUAAAUCUGUAUCUUAAAAAAUAUUUUAUCACGUUUACCAACAGUAAAAUUAUAUUGGUGCCAUUAUUACAUGGUUGAUUCCCGAAAAAGUUGUAACAUAGAAUGUCUCUGUUAUAUAACACAUGAAUAUUGUACGUAAACAGAAUGAAGUGUUCCUGAACAAAUAUAAUUUACUAUAUUAAGUAGGGUUUUAUCCGUUUAGUUAUGAUUUUGUGCAUGUGUCAUUCGCUUUUAAGGCAAUUAUCUACAAUUUCAGUUUAUUUCAUACAAGCCUUUUGGAAGUAUGCUUUUGUAAAAUUCAAACAAUAUUUUUUGAAGCAAAUAUAUAGCUUUAUACACUUUAAUAUAAGUGUUGACACAUUUUACCGCAGUUCUGUUGAGAGUCCUUUUCAACGUACUAUGCUCCAUUUGAAACAUGCGAGACAUUUUAUGGUCAGUUUAUAAAGUAUAGCGUGCAAUUUUAAAUCAGCGAGAUUUUAUGUCGACAUUUUUUAAAAUGUCGCGGCUUAUAUAAACUCUUGAGGUUUUUCUGUCACACGUCUGUCGUCAACUAUCGAGUUUUACGAAUGAAACUGCGGCUUUUACUGUGUACUUAGUAGACAAAGUGUUGUGUUUCUUAGUAUUUGGGGAAUUAUAUUAAAAGUCAUUUUAAAGUCA